This 432-nucleotide ribosomal RNA is filed under the name uncultured bacterium. RNAcentral's name for it is "partial 16S ribosomal RNA". It matches the Rfam family "Bacterial small subunit ribosomal RNA", at positions 29 to 506 of the family's 1533-position model. The record is from RNAcentral.
AGCGAACGCUGGCGGCAGGCCUAACACAUGCAAGUCGAACGAACUCUUCGGAGUUAGUGGCGGACGGGUGAGUAACACGUGGGAACGUGCCUUUAGGUUCGGAAUAACUCAGGGAAACUUGUGCUAAUACCGAAUGUGCCCUUCGGGGGAAAGAUUUAUCGCCUUUAGAGCGGCCCGCGUCUGAUUAGCUAGUUGGUGAGGUAAAGGCUCACCAAGGCGACGAUCAGUAGCUGGUCUGAGAGGAUGAUCAGCCACAUUGGGACUGAGACACGGCCCAAACCCCUAGGGGGGGCAGCAGGGGGGAAUUUUGGGAAAUGGGGGAAAGCCUGACGCAGCCAUGCCGGGUGAAUGAUGAAGGUUUUAGGAUUGUAAAAUUCUUUCACCGGGGACGAUAAUGACGGUACCCGGAGAAAAAGCCCCGGCUAACUUCGU